Molecule: non-coding RNA, 83 nt
Organism: Mycena haematopus
Lineage: Eukaryota; Fungi; Basidiomycota; Agaricomycetes; Agaricales; Mycenaceae
Source: the annotation of a GenBank genome assembly
GCGUUCGUGGUGUAUCGGUAACAUUGGGUCUUCCCACAAGACAGCUCUUGGCCUAGCACCGGGUUCGACUCCCGGCGGACGCA